This 537-nucleotide long non-coding RNA is filed under the name Pan troglodytes (chimpanzee). RNAcentral describes it as "long non-coding RNA NONPTRT008229". The record is from RNAcentral. Lineage: Eukaryota; Metazoa; Chordata; Mammalia; Primates; Hominidae.
GUCUUCACACCUUCCCCACGCAGCUCACCACCGUCUUCACACCUUCCCCACACAGCUCACCGUCUUCACACCUUCCCCACACAGCUCACCUGUCUUCACACCUUCCCCGCACAGUUCACCACCGUCUUCACACCUUCCCCACACAGUUCACCGUCUUCACACCUUCCCCACGCAGCUCACCACCGUCUUCACCCCUUCCCCGCGCAGUUCACCACCGUCUUCACACCUUCCCCACGCAGUUCACCACCGUCUUCACACCUUCCCCACACAGCUCACUGUCUUCACACCUUCCCCGCACAGUUCACCGUCUUCACACCUUCCCCACACAGUUCACCACCGUCUUCACACCUUCCCCGCACAGUUCACCACCGUCUUCACACCUUUGUACUGAGAGGGCCCUUCAUUCCUGCCCUUCUAGCAAACUCUUAGUGCUGUAGUACUCACGUCUUCCAGAAAGUGUCCCCAGAUGCUCCCAGGCUGGGCUCCCCCCAUAUCUGGGCCCCCUGAGCUGACCCUGCCCCACCCAUUAAACCCCUC